Molecule: ribosomal RNA, 253 nt
Filed under: uncultured bacterium
Lineage: Bacteria
Description: partial 16S ribosomal RNA
Rfam family: Bacterial small subunit ribosomal RNA
Source: RNAcentral
UACGUAGGGUGCAAGCGUUGUCCGGAAUUAUUGGGCGUAAAGAGCGUGUAGGCGGCCCGAUUAGUCCGCUGUGAAAGUCCAGGGCUCAACCCUGGAAUGCCGGUGGAUACUGUCGGGCUAGAGUCCGGAAGAGGCGAGUGGAAUUCCUGGUGUAGCGGUGAAAUGCGCAGAUAUCAGGAGGAACACCAAUUGCGAAGGCAGCUCGCUGGGACGUAACUGACGCUGAGACGCGAAAGCGUGGGGAGCAAACAGG